RNAcentral lists this long non-coding RNA (209 nucleotides) under Elaeis guineensis (African oil palm). RNAcentral's name for it is "long non-coding RNA (EGUI_LNC027801)". The record is from RNAcentral. Lineage: Eukaryota; Viridiplantae; Streptophyta; Magnoliopsida; Arecales; Arecaceae.
GCUUAAUAUGAGACUAUAGUGCACGAUCAAAUGGCUCUGGUGCAAGACGAUCACGAUUGAACGGCCACGGAUAGUUCUAGCAUUGGUUGAGAUUCAGUAUUCUUAGUGUAACAGUAUUUUUGAGAUUCUGUAGUCUAUAUAGCUUUGAUUGAUGAGUUGUUUACUGCAUUGGAUAGCUGGUGACGUUCUGGAGCUACAGAAAGACUUCA